CUGAAUAUGUGUGGGCCAUUUCAUAAACAGCAGAGAAUAGUGUACUAGAGCUCUUUCACAUUAAAUUUGAUCAACGCAGAACUGCAAAUGAAACUGACAUCUGAGAUGAAGAAAUCGAAAAUCCUCUGCCUUCACGGUGGUCGCAGUAGUGGUGUGCUCCUUAAAGAAGAGCUUGAAAUAUGGCCUUCAAGUGUAUUGGAAAGGAUGGACCUUGUGUGCAUCGAUGCUCCUUUUGCAGCCUAUGAUGUAGAUUUUCGAGCUUUUACCUGGUAUGAUGAUCAGGUAUGCCAUCCAACCACUUCAAAUCAGUUACGGUUUUUCUAGUGUGUGUCCAUGGGCACAUGCUAAGCGAGAAAUUUUAUAAGUUUUAACUCUUUUUGAUUGGCUCUCAUAUUUUAAUAAUGAUGGACUCUCUGUAUAUACAACCACCAUACCAAUCAAAAUCUCCCAAACAUAUAAAAUAUAUACAACCACCAUACCAAUCAAAAUCUCCCAAACAUAUAAAAUUCCGUGCUUAGCAUGUGCCCAUGGACACACACUAAACAAACCCAAUAGCAACCAGUUUUCAUUUUCUUAGUAAUUUGAUGCUUCUACAUGCGAAUAAAUGUCAAGAUGUAACCAGACUGAACAUCAUGUUUAAUGAGUCCGUCGCAUACAUUGAGGAAACUAUGGUAAAGCUUGGCCCAUUUGACGGGGUUCUCGGCAUGUCCAUGGGAGCACUCAUAGCGGCUGCCUUACCGGGAAUGCAAGCCCAGGGUGUUGCUCUACCAAAGUGCAAGAUUUGAAAUGUGUGGUGGUGAUAUGUGGAGGUAAAUUUGCAAGUGUAGAGAUUGCAACUCCAAAGCUAGCCGAAAAUGCAUUUUCCUCUCUGAUUCAGACUCCCUCACUCCACAUCUUCGGUGAGAAUGAUUUCGCAAAGUUAGGUGCAAUUGAACUAUUGGAAUCAUUUGUUGAUCCUUUUGUUAUUUUGCACCCCGGGGGUCACGAGGUACCAGAACUAGAUGAAAAAGGUGUGAAGGUAAUGAACAGUUUCCUGGACAAGGUUCAAGCCUCAUUUGCAGCUCCUAAAGUGAUCCGCUCACUUAUGUAGCUCUGUCAACAAAGUGGAUGUUGUCUGACUAUUUGAUGCAUCAAGCACAACACAACUGCUUUCUAUCACAAUGGACUUUGUAUUGUUGUCUUCAUUGUGAUUAGACCAAUAAUUCACAGUUUUUAUCAGUAAAAUACAGUUUCAGAAUUCAAAUAAAAAAAAUACGAUCUCAAUAUUUUUUAUGAUUUCGAACAAUUUGUGACAUAAUUCACGAAAAAUAUUGUGAAUACGACAAACUGAAUUUAAAGCGAA
Molecule: long non-coding RNA, 1342 nt
Organism: Daucus carota subsp. sativus
Lineage: Eukaryota; Viridiplantae; Streptophyta; Magnoliopsida; Apiales; Apiaceae
Exons: 5
Source: RefSeq, a predicted model, not a curated record